This is a long non-coding RNA of Cydia strobilella, 6111 nucleotides long. RefSeq lists it as uncharacterized. The record is from RefSeq and is a predicted model, not a curated record. Lineage: Eukaryota; Metazoa; Arthropoda; Insecta; Lepidoptera; Tortricidae. The transcript has 2 exons.
CGGACUGAUAGUCAGUGGGCCCCUUUAGUUCCGUGAUCGUUAGAGCUACAAAGCUGCAAUUUGUCAUGGAUAUCUAAAUUAAUUAAUCCAACAAAGUCGUACAAUAAAAUAAAAAUAAAAAUGUUUUUAGUGUACCUCCCCUACACGUAAAGUGGGGUGUAAUUUUAUUUUCGUUUCAACCCUACAGUGUGGGGUAUCGUUGGAUAGGUCUUUCAAAACGAAUAGGGGUCUUCAACAAACAUUUUUUUUCUAACAAGCCAACUUUAAUCUUUUAAGGUUUUGGUCGGAGUCUGCCCUUGCAAAUAUAGUCUUAGUUUUCGUGUAUUUAAACUAGCUUUUUCCCUUGAUUAAAAUGUGUACAAAUUCAAUAUUAAAACUACAUUCUUACGUUAGCCCAUCAUCUUUAGUUUUCAUUGAUCGUUUUUAACUUUAAAUGAUCUAUAUUUAUUUAUAUAUUUUUAUAAAUGCUAGUCGUUAUAAAGGCGUGGUUGUGAUGGUGUCUGCGUGAUGACGUGUUUGUUAUUGCCUUAUUGGAUAGUAUAUUUUACUAUGUUGGGCGUUGUUGUUAAUAUCAAUGUUUUGUUAUCAUAUAUAGCGAUUACGCCCACAGUACAUAAUUUUCUUAAAUUAAGUAAAAAUUACGUUGAUUAUCUAUAAAAUUUACUGAAUAUGUACUUCCGUGGGUUUCAAUUAUUUUUAAUGGGUUCCAUAAUUAUAAUUGUUGAUGUGUUUUUUUAUUUUGCUUUGUAUGUUUAUUUAUAUUAUGGAGAUCCAACAGAGCUAUCAAUACAAAGUAGCAGCAAUUCAUAAGAGAUGCAAAGUCAAUUACAGGAUCACACUUGUAGCUACAUAUUAUUACAUUAGUUUGCUUAAAUGAAAAGUGUCGACGCUCGGACACAGCAACACACAACAUAAAAGUUCAUACAGUACAUAUUAAAUAGAAUCCAAAAAUAAAUUUAAUAGUGGAAAAAUUACUGCCUUGGGUGAGACUUGAACUCACGGCCUCUGGAUCGAUACUCCAGCGCUCUGCCAACUGAGCCACCAAGACCUCAUCCAUAGCAGUAAUUUUUCUACUUUUAAAUUUAUUCUAAGCUUAAUAGCAUCGAUCGCAGACGUUUCUGCUUGUUAAAAAUUAAUUUAGAAUCCAGAAAUAUAACAUUUAAAACUUUCGCGUUUUGAACACAUAUUAAAUCACAUUUACAAUCGCGAUGCUAUCGCGAAUUUAUUUUGUUACCUUUAUUUACCGACGUUUCGACACAGAUUUCACUGGUCGUGGUCGCGGCUAAUUGUCGCGAUAGACCCGUUUGUAAAUGUGAUUUAAUAUGUGAAGAAUCCAGAAAUGACAAAAUUUACAUGAAAUGUUGACGUGUAAAAGUGCCCUUGUGGCCUAUUUCCUGAAUAAAUGUUGAAGUUUGAAUGAAAACAUAUUUUUUGUUUUUGACAACAUUGUUUAAAAUCUAAGCCAGACUAAUGUAUACAUAUGCUAUCCGUAUGAUAGCUUAUAAAUCUAAUUAUUGAAUUCUUAUUUAUAAUAAUAAUCAAAAGACCGGGAUUUAUAAGGCCCUUGAAAUCCAAAAUGGAGAUAUAUUAAUAAUCAUACGUAUGUAUGUAGUUUAGUGAUAAGGAUAUCCAAACUUGUAAGGUGAACACCAAUUAGUUUAAGAUUUUAUAGCCGGCCUUAUUUAAUAUAGAGGGAUAGCAUUCGAAAGUAGGACCUAAGAUAUACUAAAUAUGACAAAUUACACUUUUGAAUUUACGUAUAUUCUUAGCAAUUAACAUUUAUCCUUUAUUCUCUAGGAUUAUAUUUCGUGGUGCGGCGCGAUCCAAUUGUUUUGAGAUUAUUUAUUUAUUUGUCAGAAUUGAUUGUGUAAAAUGUCGCACGCAUCACCAUGGCCGAUGGACUGAGGUGUAUUAAUCGAUGUAAUAAUUUGUCUGUAAACAAAUAUGUACAGUUUAAAAACGUCAAACCUGUGCUUAUAUAAUACAACAAAUUCCGUUAUCGGAUAAGAACAAGUUCUUAAUGUUAUCGUGUAGGUAUGACCAACGGGUUUUACCUCUGCUUUUCUUAUCCUGAUUUUGUAAUUACUGAUAUGAUAUUAAAUUGAUCAUUGUCUAUAGGCUUUAAGGAACAUUCAUCGUCACCAGACUAAAUACGUCCCAGUGCUUGUCACAUGCCUUCUCUCAAUGUACAAUAAAUGUUGGUAUAAAGUACCCAUGUGUAUAAUGUGUCCAAAGCGGAUUUUGCACACCUUUGAAUGCCUUCAUAGAUGUAGGCAGGUUUCCUCGCUAGAUUUUCCAUUACCGAAAAGCAACAAGUAAAAUUUUUAUUAAAAUUAUUCAAUAUACAGUCAGAUGAAAAAAUAUCGGUAAACACACCUCAGUCAAAUCUAGAUUAAGUACCUAUUCAUAAGUUAAAUUAAUCGUUUUUGAGUUUAAACCUGCCAAAUAUACUGUAAGAACUACGUACGCAUCCUCAAAAGCGUAGAGCACUGUCUGGCAAUAUCUAUACAACUCAAUUUGAACCCUAACAGUACCAUUAUAUAUCUAUACAUGUUUUGAGGUGUUUCGUGCAAAACUUUGUUCACGGAACACUUAUGGGAUCACUUCGGUCUUGCAAAUCAGUUAAAUGCGUUUUUCGCAGAGACCGUUUAACGUAGUUUCAUAUUUACCACUAAUAAAGUCCGCCCUAGAGAAAACUAGCGAAACUUACAAAAUCGGCUUUAGGUAACCUUCUUGUAACAAUUGCUAUUUUGACAUAUGUUUAAAUAAGAAUAUUCCGUAUACAUUUGUUCGGCUGAUCGAAACUAUAUUAGAUCAGAUAUAACUAUUAAUUGGUAGCUGUGUUAAUUAAUGACAAAAUAAGAAAAAGGUUAAUUUAGCUCAGCAGCUACGGAUCAAUAUUGUUUAACCUUCCAUAUAUUGUUUUUUUUUGUAUUUAUUAAACGUGUAAGUACUGUGUCUAUUACUUCAGGCAAAUAUCUCAAUUAUUAGUUAUUUCUAGUACAUAAUUAUUAUGUAAAUAAAUAAUACCUACGUAGAUUUAAUCAUCAUAAAAUGAAAGCUUUAUUAGUGUAGGCCUUGUAGACGCAUUACAUAGUUGUUAAUGAAGUUAAAAGGUAUCAUAUUCUAUAGAUUAAGAUAUAAAUCAGUGCCUAGAAUAGUUUUUUCUUUCAGUUUAGUAUUUUUUUAAUAUUUAUUUUUGUAUUAUAUUUUUGGUUUUGUUGUGUAUUUAUCGUUGUAAGCUGUUUUGAAUCAUAUAAAUCAAUUAGAUUGAGUAUAAUAAAUCAUUAGGUGAGUAAUAGAUUCGUUGGUCUGAAAAGCUUUCCUGUUAUGAUUUAUGGUAUACCUACGUAGUAUGCACAUACCUAUAUAGGUAUGUUAUCAAUGUACUCGCCUUUAUUGUCAGUAAUGUCAGUAGAAUAUGCGUUGAUCAUUUUGAGCUCUUCGUCCCUGUAGUCAGUUCAGCUGCCGGCUGUAUUUCUACAAGUACAGACACGAUUCUUUAAACAUAGUACUGUCAGCAUCAUCGCGUCAAAAGUAUCUACCACCCAGACCACCCUCUAAUAAUUUUGUGUGUGUCUAGUAAUGAUGGUCAACUUUAAAUCGGAAUAGGCUCUUUCUGUAAUUAAGCUGAUAGAGAAUGAUGCGUACUGUAGUGACGUAUGGAGUCGAAAACAUCACUGACAAAAAUGUAGUGCCUAGAAACAUUUCGGUGCCUAUAUACCGCCUACCUACUUUUCUUAUGAUUAACUGUCAAUGGGAUCUACUCUUAUCAGAAUGUGUCUCGUAUGAGACCUCUAUUUAUUUAUUACUGUUUCGGCGGCCCUAAGACGUAACUGACGAAAAUAUAAUGUAGAACCCAGGUUUCUGUUAGAAGGAAGAAUAUUGUUGCGCUACAGUGGCUUUGUUAACUUCGUGUCAAUUAAGGCUUAUCUCGGAGUUCAAAAAAUCAAUGCCUCAAGUAGAACUGUUUUUUUUUUGGAAAAAGCUUAGUGGAGGAAACACGCCUAUAAGUAUCUGACCGUUGUAAAUACAAAUCGGCCUACAGCAUGUAUUUGUCCAUAAUUCGGUUUGAUUAAGUUAUUGUCAACGUUAAUUUAAAGCUUAUGGCGAUGUACCGUGUAUAUGGGGCAUUUUCUAUGAAAAGGGACCUUAUUGUCGAUGGCGCUUACGCAGCACAGCGUCGCGCGUCAUUGUAUUUAUAUAAGGUCCCUUUUUAUAGAAAAUACCACAUAUAUGUGACGUUAUCGACUUAAAGUUACCUCAUUGUCGGUUGUCGAUAAGGUUGAUUUCAAAUUUAAGCUAUGGAAAUAGCGUCUUAUUGACAACCGACAAUAAGACGCUUUGGUUGAAAAUGGCACAUAUGUGUCGUUUCCAAGCAAAAAGUCCCACUGUCGCUUGCCAUAAGGACACUUUGACAGGUUAUUCGUAUAGAUACAAGCAAAUCUCGUCCUUAUGGUAAGCGACAAAGUGGGACCUUUGACUAGACUCUGUCUUAUUAUAAUUCAAAUGUUUCCCGUGAAAGUUUUUUUUAUAAAGCCAGUUUUUAAUGUUUUUGAUACAUAAUUUUUUUAGUUAGGUAAUUUUACAAAAUGUUAAGUAAAUGUUAAGAUUGAUAUAUUGUCUUGCUCCGUUUGUACAAUGUAUGGAUUAUAAGAAUCCUUCCCACCACUCGUGUAAGCGUAAUUUAUUCUAAAUCAAUGCUUGCUUUACGUAUCGUUAAGAAUCUUUGUAUUAAUGACCAAAGCGUUAAUCUACAGCCAUAAUUUUGGAUUUAUGAGUUGUAUACCUACAGAUGUAUCUCUUUGUUUAUUCCCGGUAGUCAAAGACAUAAGUAAAUGAGUUUGAAACUUUUUGGUGGCGCCAUAUGCGCUUAAAUACAUGAAACCAUCCAUCCAUUGUAGUAACCUUCGGAAACAGGAUCUUUUUUUGGUGUGUCAUGAGUUAUGACCUGUAAAACGCAUCUACAUUUCUUCACGUGACAACCAAAACAAAACUCACUAAUUACCUACUAAUAAAACAAAACAAGGUGAUUAUUAUUUUGCAUUUAGUGAGUUAUGGUUGUCACCUGACGAUUUACAUCACAUUGUAGAUCAAAGACAUCGGCAGAUCAGAUUUAUCGGUAUAAGCUUUUAGCUAAUAUUACCCCAUCCAAAUAUCGUCGGAUGUUAACCAAAACAUAUCUGGUUAAGUAUAUCGGAAGAGGAUCAAUAAGGUUCUCGUUCAAUUUUAUUAAUCUUUAAUACAAUAAAGUGAAAGCAAAAUGGUUCAUCAUAAUCGCCAACCCUGACGCAAAACUGUCAUAUGCCACGGUUUUGCUAGCUCCGUUGCGGGGUUUGUUUAUCACAUAUUGAAAUUUGAAACACGAUUUUGCUUAAGCCGGAUUCACACUUGUCUGUCGUGUUAUGUUGUGUUUUGUCGUGACGCAUCAGAACGGCAAUCGGUUUCAUACAUUUAAUAUGGUUGCGUGCACAUUUCUCUGACGCACUGCUUUAAUCUUUAUGCCUCUUCUGCGAACAAUUCUUUGGUUUUGGUUAUCACCCGACGAAUUUGCCGGCGGAUACUUGGGUAAUUUGACAAAUGUCGUAACAGCUGAUGAAGAGCUGGGGGUCUAGCCAAGAUGACGAUAAUACAUCGACAAACGCCAAACGAAAGAAAAAAAUGUGUCAGGAUGACAGAUGCUAUGAAAAGUCACGUGACUAUUCCAUACAUUAUUUAAGAUUCCAUAGACGUUUUCUAUCAGUGAUUGUCGUCUUGUGUGUGUGCUAGGCCCCCAGGGUGCCUAGCCAAGAUGCCAAACGUUUACGUGUCGUAGCGAACGAUACGCUAAUGUCUCUCUGUCGUACUACAUAAUAUGGAAGAGUGAUAGAGAUUAGUUUCGCUUAGAUUCGAUUAUUAGAUCGCUACGGCGCAAACAAUUGGCAUCUUGGCUAGACCCUCUGAUCUAUUUACUCCGCCGAUGCCAAGUUAGUGAAGCAGGCUGUUGCCUAACCGUUACAUUCCAAUUGAAUUAAGUACCAAAGGACUUUAAUUUUGAGAUCUAUAUCUUACCUCAAUCGUGUCUUUCUUGUUGUGCAUAAAUUUAACAAAUACAUCAUUAUUUUAAUGUGA